UGCACAGGUGCAGCUGGGGCUCCCUGCUCUGGCAGAGGAGACCUUCUGCUAACUCCUGGGGAGCGGGAAGCUCCUAGUGGACCAGAUCCUGGUGUACAAAGAGGAAGUCUUCCCCCACCUUGGGGCUCCCACCCUGCUGAAGGACCACCGUCUGACCCAAGCAGAGACCCUGGAGCCAGAGAGAAUGGCACCCUGGACCUCAAGGCCCCCUUCCCAGGGGUCAGUAACAUUCAAGGAUGUGACUGUGGACUUCACCCAGGAGGAAUGGUGCCUCUUGGACCAUUCUGAGAAAGAGCUGUACAGGGAGGUCAUGCUGGAGAAUGUGCAAAAUCUACUCUCUGUGGGUAAGGACCAUUUCCUCUGUUAACUCUGAAUCUGCCAUUAAAGAAAUGUCUUCAUUCCAUACUUAAGGUGUAGGAUUUUAAGUCUUUGUUAGUGAUUUAAAACACAAACAUGCUGAUCUCUGCACAGCAUUCUCCUCCUGCCUAUGUUUCUUAAAAAAAAAAAAAAAAAAAAAAGUCUUUUAAUUCUCUGAUGAGAAGCUGGGACUUUCCUUUCUUACUCCUGAAAUAUUCUCCCUUCUGUUUUAGGUAGCUUCAAGUGAAAGCUUAAAACAGUGUUACAGAUUUAUAUUCCUGAAGCUAAUCUCAAAAGUCAUCUAGUCCAGCCUCUAAUUAGACCUAGAUUUUGUGUGUAAAUUCUCUGUUAAUACCAAGGCAGAUUUUCCUUCCAGAUAGCCAUCAAAGGAGUGACUCUAACUGCCUUUCUCAUUUGGGAUAGGUCUGGUCUUUAUAAAGUAUGUCUUUUUAAGAAGUAUUAAUGAGAAAGGCAGCAGGGCAGAAGCAAAUUCUGGAGCCACAUUGAGAAUCUCAAACAAACCUUAAAACGGUGCUUCUAAAUUUCUGCAAUCACAGAACAAACAAGGGUCAGAGUAAGAUGAGUUGAAGGAGGAAUACAACUUAAAUAGUAGGCAGAAAAGGUCUAUUUCUGAGAAGAAAGGGGAACUGGAAGUGAAACCUGGCACAGACUAGUGCAUACAAUCCAUCCCCUACCUUCUGCCAGGUCCCGUACCUAGGCACAAGCCAACUUUGAGACCCUAGGAUCCUUCUUAAGCCUUCAUUAGCACAACGCGAGCCCACCCCUUGAAAACCAAACGUCUGGCACAAAACCUUAGUGAAGCCGAAAAGUCACUUGACCAGUUUAAGCCUGUGGUGAAGUCCCUAGCUCCAGGGCAAAGUAGCUCUCAGUUCACUGAGCCCUGCAAGCCAUCAGCAGUGCCUUGAGGAGACUAAAUCAGCAACUUUUCGAACACCCAGCCUACAGGCCAUGAUACCAUUUUGAAAGAAAUGAAACUUGUCAAAAAGCAGAACUAUAGUUCCGGGUUAAGAUGGCGG
Gracilinanus agilis (Agile Gracile Mouse Opossum) is the source of this 1394-nucleotide long non-coding RNA. RefSeq lists it as uncharacterized. The transcript is spliced from 3 exons. The record is from RefSeq and is a predicted model, not a curated record. Lineage: Eukaryota; Metazoa; Chordata; Mammalia; Didelphimorphia; Didelphidae.